Molecule: ribosomal RNA, 1451 nt
Filed under: Cuppa taenia
Lineage: Eukaryota; Parabasalia; Holomastigotoidida; Holomastigotoididae
Description: SSU rRNA
Rfam family: Eukaryotic small subunit ribosomal RNA
Source: RNAcentral
AAGUGUUAGUUCAGGCAACGAAACUGCGAACAGCUCAUUAAUACGCUCAGAACCUAUUCGGUUUCGGCCCAUUAGGGUCCUAUAUGGAUAGCAGCAGAAAUUCUGGUGCUAAUACAUGCGGUUUAAACCAGCUUAAAUGAAUCAAGCUGAGGACGUGACCGACUGGCGCACCGUUCGGUUGAGCGCUCUAUCAGCUUGUACGUAGUGUCUUUUACUAUGUAGGCUAUCACGGAUACCGGGUGGUUAUCGUCAGACUGCCGGAGAGGGUGCCUGAGAGACAGCAGCCAUCACCAUGGUGAGCAGCAGGCGCGAAACUUACCCACUCGCCAACGGCGGAGGUGGUAAUGGCCAGUUCCAUCGCGUCGCAAGACCGGCGGAUAGGCUCACACUUUUCCAGUGUGGGGUAACCUAGGAGAGGGCCAGUUCUGGUGCCAGCAGCUGCGGUAAUUCCAGCUCUCCGAGUUUGCUCCCAAUGCUACACUUAAAACGCCCGUAGUCUGAAUCCGAAGCUCGCAUAGAGCGUUCACCGUGAAUAAAUCAGGAUGCUUAGAGUAGUUCAUAACUGAAUGACUCAGCGCGGUAUGAGUUCUUUACCCUGUAGGGGUCAGAUCAAAGAGAGCCAGGGGGGGUAGGUCUAUUUCAUGGCGAGCGGCGGAAUGUGUUGACCCAUGAGAGAGAAACGAGUGCGAAAGCACCUGCCUAGAAGGUUUCUAUCGAUCAAGGGCGAGAGUCGCAGGAUCCAACCGGAUUAGGGACCCGGGUAGUUGCGACCUUAAACUAUGCCGACGGGGCCUCGUCAGCAAUGGCAGGGUCCUAAGCGAAAGCCUGAGUCGUUGGGCUGUGGGGGAACUACGAUCGCAGGGUUGAAACUUGAAGGAAUUGACGGAAGGGCACACCAGGGGUGGAUACUGUGGCUCAAUCUGACUCAACGCGGAGAAACUUACCAGGACCAGAUAUUUUUAAUGACUGACCAGCUAAAGACUGUUCAGGAUAUGAUUUUUGGUGGUGCAUGGCCGUUGGUGGUGCGUGGAUUGAUCUGUCAUGCGUCGAUUCAGAUAACGAGCGAGACUACCGCCGCUUAUCUAGGCCUCACCUCUUGGGAGGACGAAGUCUUCUAAGCGGGGCUCCCUGUGUUGAAACAGGCGGAAGAGGGUAGCAAUAACAGGUCCGUGAUGUCCUUUAGAUGCUCUGGGCUGCACGCGUUCUACAAUGCUAGAGUCACUGGGAUGCCAACCCGAGAGGGUUUGCUACUCCUUUAAUCUCUAGCGUAGUUGGGAUUGACGGUUGUAAUCACUGUCAUGAACCAGGAAUCCCUUGUAAGCGUGUAUCAACAUUGCACGCUGAAUACGUCCCUGCCCUUUGUACACACCGCCCGUCGCUCCUACCGAUUGGAUGGAUCGGUGAAAUUGUUGGACGCCUUUUGGCGGAAGGCAAUUAAACCUGUCGAUUUA